CAUAGGUUAAUGAGGCGAACCGGGGGAACUGAAACAUCUAAGUACCCCGAGGAAAAGAAAUCAACCGAGAUUCCCCCAGUAGCGGCGAGCGAACGGGGAGGAGCCCAGAGCCUGAAUCAGUGUGUGUGUUAGUGGAAGCGUCUGGAAAGGCGCGCGAUACAGGGUGACAGCCCCGUACACAAAAAUGCACAUGCUGUGAGCUCGAUGAGUAGGGCGGGACACGUGGUAUCCUGUCUGAAUAUGGGGGGACCAUCCUCCAAGGCUAAAUACUCCUGACUGACCGAUAGUGAACCAGUACCGUGAGGGAAAGGCGAAAAGAACCCCGGCGAGGGGAGUGAAAAAGAACCUGAAACCGUGUACGUACAAGCAGUGGGAGCACGCUUAGGCGUGUGACUGCGUACCUUUUGUAUAAUGGGUCAGCGACUUAUAUUCUGUAGCAAGGUUAACCGAAUAGGGGAGCCGAAGGGAAACCGAGUCUUAACUGGGCGUUAAGUUGCAGGGUAUAGACCCGAAACCCGGUGAUCUAGCCAUGGGCAGGUUGAAGGUUGGGUAACACUAACUGGAGGACCGAACCGACUAAUGUUGAAAAAUUAGCGGAUGACUUGUGGCUGGGGGUGAAAGGCCAAUCAAACCGGGAGAUAGCUGGUUCUCCCCGAAAGCUAUUUAGGUAGCGCCUCGUGAAUUCAUCUCCGGGGGUAGAGCACUGUUUCGGCAAGGGGGUCAUCCCGACUUACCAACCCGAUGCAAACUGCGAAUACCGGAGAAUGUUAUCACGGGAGACACACGGCGGGUGCUAACGUCCGUCGUGAAGAGGGAAACAACCCAGACCGCCAGCUAAGGUCCCAAAGUCAUGGUUAAGUGGGAAACGAUGUGGGAAGGCCCAGACAGCCAGGAUGUUGGCUUAGAAGCAGCCAUCAUUUAAAGAAAGCGUAAUAGCUCACUGGUCGAGUCGGCCUGCGCGGAAGAUGUAACGGGGCUAAACCAUGCACCGAAGCUGCGGCAGCGACGCUGAUGCGUUGUUGGGUAGGGGAGCGUUCUGUAAGCCUGCGAAGGUGUGCUGUGAGGCAUGCUGGAGGUAUCAGAAGUGCGAAUGCUGACAUAAGUAACGAUAAAGCGGGUGAAAAGCCCGCUCGCCGGAAGACCAAGGGUUCCUGUCCAACGUUAAUCGGGGCAGGGUGAGUCGACCCCUAAGGCGAGGCCGAAAGGCGUAGUCGAUGGGAAACAGGUUAAUAUUCCUGUACUUGGUGUUACUGCGAAGGGGGGACGGAGAAGGCUAUGUUGGCCGGGCGACGGUUGUCCCGGUUUAAGCGUGUAGGCUGGUUUUCCAGGCAAAUCCGGAAAAUCAAGGCUGAGGCGUGAUGACGAGGCACUACGGUGCUGAAGCAACAAAUGCCCUGCUUCCAGGAAAAGCCUCUAAGCAUCAGGUAACAUCAAAUCGUACCCCAAACCGACACAGGUGGUCAGGUAGAGAAUACCAAGGCGCUUGAGAGAACUCGGGUGAAGGAACUAGGCAAAAUGGUGCCGUAACUUCGGGAGAAGGCACGCUGAUAUGUAGGUGAAGCGACUUGCUCGUGGAGCUGAAAUCAGUCGAAGAUACCAGCUGGCUGCAACUGUUUAUUAAAAACACAGCACUGUGCAAACACGAAAGUGGACGUAUACGGUGUGACGCCUGCCCGGUGCCGGAAGGUUAAUUGAUGGGGUUAGCGCAAGCGAAGCUCUUGAUCGAAGCCCCGGUAAACGGCGGCCGUAACUAUAACGGUCCUAAGGUAGCGAAAUUCCUUGUCGGGUAAGUUCCGACCUGCACGAAUGGCGUAAUGAUGGCCAGGCUGUCUCCACCCGAGACUCAGUGAAAUUGAACUCGCUGUGAAGAUGCAGUGUACCCGCGGCAAGACGGAAAGACCCCGUGAACCUUUACUAUAGCUUGACACUGAACAUUGAGCCUUGAUGUGUAGGAUAGGUGGGAGGCUUUGAAGUGUGGACGCCAGUCUGCAUGGAGCCGACCUUGAAAUACCACCCUUUAAUGUUUGAUGUUCUAACGUGGACCCGUAAUCCGGGUUGCGGACAGUGUCUGGUGGGUAGUUUGACUGGGGCGGUCUCCUCCUAAAGAGUAACGGAGGAGCACGAAGGUUGGCUAAUCCUGGUCGGACAUCAGGAGGUUAGUGCAAUGGCAUAAGCCAGCUUGACUGCGAGCGUGACGGCGCGAGCAGGUGCGAAAGCAGGUCAUAGUGAUCCGGUGGUUCUGAAUGGAAGGGCCAUCGCUCAACGGAUAAAAGGUACUCCGGGGAUAACAGGCUGAUACCGCCCAAGAGUUCAUAUCGACGGCGGUGUUUGGCACCUCGAUGUCGGCUCAUCACAUCCUGGGGCUGAAGUAGGUCCCAAGGGUAUGGCUGUUCGCCAUUUAAAGUGGUACGCGAGCUGGGUUUAGAACGUCGUGAGACAGUUCGGUCCCUAUCUGCCGUGGGCGCUGGAGAACUGAGGGGGGCUGCUCCUAGUACGAGAGGACCGGAGUGGACGCAUCACUGGUGUUCGGGUUGUCAUGCCAAUGGCACUGCCCGGUAGCUAAAUGCGGAAGAGAUAAGUGCUGAAAGCAUCUAAGCACGAAACUUGCCCCGAGAUGAGUUCUCCCUGACUCCUUGAGAGUCCUGAAGGAACGUUGAAGACGACGACGUUGAUAGGCCGGGUGUGUAAGCGCAGCGAUGCGUUGAGCUAACCGGUACUAAUGAACCGUGAG
Molecule: ribosomal RNA, 2731 nt
Filed under: Escherichia coli
Lineage: Bacteria; Pseudomonadati; Pseudomonadota; Gammaproteobacteria; Enterobacterales; Enterobacteriaceae
Description: partial 23S ribosomal RNA
Rfam family: Bacterial large subunit ribosomal RNA
Source: RNAcentral